CUCAGCCUCUGUUAGUAUUGUCUGAAACACACUGCUUGAGGAGUGUGUGUUAAGGACACUCUAAAAAAGAGACUUGUGGGAGGUUUCAGGCAUUUGGAAGUUUUAGAUACGACUUCAAGUAAGAUUCACUUUCGGGUGAGGUAUUUAUAUCAGCCAGAGUCCCAGCAGGAAGAUGGCAUCUUCCACAAGAUAAGUGGGCCAAGUUUAAAGAUGAGAUGAUCUACACAGGCAACUCUAUAGAUCACUGGGGACUCAUCCUGCAGAUAUCAUUCAAGGUAUCCGGUUCAGAAUCUAUCACCAGCUCAGACUGUAGCCUCUGAAGAGAUCUCAGAUGUUUUGUGCCUUAUACAUUUAAUUCUGAGAUCAUAGAGCCCAAGGAGGUUUUGAGGACCCUCUACCCACACCUUCAGAUGUUUUCAGAGGAUUUGCUGGCAGGGCUGGGCCACUGGGCCUUGCUGGGCUCUAAUUUUCCUACCCACGUGUGUCCUAUAGACCGUGAAUUUUCUUCUAAACACUCUUGACUUUUCACUUGUUAAAUUAAAGCAUUUUCUUAA
This 554-nucleotide long non-coding RNA is filed under the name Homo sapiens (human). RNAcentral's name for it is "HSALNT0337798". The record is from RNAcentral. Lineage: Eukaryota; Metazoa; Chordata; Mammalia; Primates; Hominidae.